AGACCCGAAACCCGGUGAUCUAGCCAUGGGCAGGUUGAAGGUUGGGUAACACUAACUGGAGGACCGAACCGACUAAUGUUGAAAAAUUAGCGGAUGACUUGUGGCUGGGGGUGAAAGGCCAAUCAAACCGGGAGAUAGCUGGUUCUCCCCGAAAGCUAUUUAGGUAGCGCCUCGUGAAUUCAUCUCCGGGGGUAGAGCACUGUUUCGGCAAGGGGGUCAUCCCGACUUACCAACCCGAUGCAAACUGCGAAUACCGGAGAAUGUUAUCACGGGAGACACACGGCGGGUGCUAACGUCCGUCGUGAAGAGGGAAACAACCCAGACCGCCAGCUAAGGUCCCAAAGUCAUGGUUAAGUGGGAAACGAUGUGGGAAGGCCCAGACAGCCAGGAUGUUGGCUUAGAAGCAGCCAUCAUUUAAAGAAAGCGUAAUAGCUCACUGGUCGAGUCGGCCUGCGCGGAAGAUGUAACGGGGCUAAACCAUGCACCGAAGCUGCGGCAGCGACACUGUGUGUUGUUGGGUAGGGGAGCGUUCUGUAAGCCUGUGAAGGUG
This 550-nucleotide ribosomal RNA is filed under the name Escherichia coli. RNAcentral's name for it is "partial 23S ribosomal RNA". It matches the Rfam family "Bacterial large subunit ribosomal RNA", at positions 711 to 1258 of the family's 2925-position model. The record is from RNAcentral. Lineage: Bacteria; Pseudomonadati; Pseudomonadota; Gammaproteobacteria; Enterobacterales; Enterobacteriaceae.